UUCAAAGGUUGUCUGUAUUCCUAGUUUGAAUACAGUACCUGAGGAUGAUGAUAUUCCCAGCAUUGCCAUGACUUCAUCUGAGAACACAUGCUCACCUGAACGUAUGGCUAAAGAUGUAAACACAUGUGACAGAUCAUGCGAUGUAGACCUGUCAUCCAUGGCUCCUGCCUUAGUGGACAUACCCUUUGUUUCAUCAUCUGAAACUGUAAAUGGAAAUCACAAUACGAAAACACCUUCAUGCGAUGAUAAGUGCUUAGGUUCACAAGAAAAAAUGGAGCAGCAGGAGACCAAACUUGAUGUCCACUUCUUGUCCAGGAUUCCAACAGGCAGUUCACAGUUGUGCCCGGAAGUGAGAUGCACCAGUACUUCCC
RNAcentral lists this long non-coding RNA (371 nucleotides) under Vitis vinifera (wine grape). RNAcentral describes it as "long non-coding RNA (VVIN_LNC005273)". Lineage: Eukaryota; Viridiplantae; Streptophyta; Magnoliopsida; Vitales; Vitaceae. The record is from RNAcentral.